This is a long non-coding RNA of Gadus chalcogrammus (walleye pollock), 3450 nucleotides long. RefSeq lists it as uncharacterized. Lineage: Eukaryota; Metazoa; Chordata; Actinopteri; Gadiformes; Gadidae. The record is from RefSeq and is a predicted model, not a curated record. The transcript is spliced from 3 exons.
GCGGGCUGCAGUCAGGGGCACUUGAAUGAGCUCGAGUUGAAAAUGUAUAUUGCUUACAGCACCUGUCCCGUCAGCCGACCAAUGGUUGAGCGAUGCUGAGCAGAGCUGAGCAGCCUUCAGCCAAUGGUUGAGCAAUGCUGAGCAGAGCUGAGCGCCCAACAGACCAAUCAUUGAGCGUGGAUUGGAAUACUAAUUUCUUCUCUUCACGAUCAAGGCGGCCAUGCCACUAGUUCGGUGAAGCUGUCAACGGAGGAUUCACUCAGAUGGAACAUGCCUACACAUCAGUGCACCGUGUGCGACCAGACAUUCGGUGAAAAGUCCAACCUGGCGAGGCAUCUGAAGAUCCAUGCCAUCGCCAGGGAGACAUUUAGCUGUGUCGUCUGCGGGAAGAACUUGGCCACUAAACCAUCGCUGGUCAGCCAUCAACGGCUACACCAGUACCCCAACAUAAUUUUGUACCGGCAAGGAGAGGCCAGGCUGUAUUGUACAGAGGCAGCAAGGUCUGUGGCAGAGGCCCGCAGCAGCACUGUUGUUGACCCUAAAUGGCUGGAUCUCAAGACAGCAGAGACGGCUGACAAGAGGUCGGGGGGUGAGCUGUGGAAAGGUCAGCUGGUCAUCACGUUUGGGUGCCACCUGAAGGUCAGACCUUCAGGUGGCUUGUGGAGAAUGAUGUCGGCGGGCUGGUGUGGCUGCUGUUCCAGUACUGCCAGCAGGGAGAGCAGAGCGAGCUGCUGAAGUGGCAGAAGGAGCGACUGCUCCUUCUGCCACAAGGUGACUCCUCACCUGAAAGUGCUGUCGGACGCACCGUUCCCGGAGGCUCCUGCGCUGCCAACAUCCCUCCCUCCGCCAGACCGGCCUCAGGUCCAGUACCGGCACAUCCAUCACGAAGCUGGAAAGAGACGUGGUGAGAAGCGGAGAUUAUUUGUUGAUGAGCCACAGCCUGUGACUCCCGCGAACCGGCCAGUUCAGCCCACUGGGUUUGUCGUCCUCCACCCGGCCGAAGCCUGCUGCGCCCACCCCCAUUCUGCCGAGGCCUCCUGCGCCCACCCACCUCCAGCCGAGGCCACCUGCUGCAUUGACCUACGGCCCACCCCCUGUGUCGGCAGCACCCAUACUGCUGGUCCUCCCCGCACAGGCCCCCUCCGUCCUGUUUCGUGGGCCAUCCUGCAGCCAGAGCUUUGUCCCUCCUGCACCAACAGUGAAGGCAUUCAUGCCUAACAAGUCCUCAAGGCCAUGUGGGGCUUGCCACGUGCCAAACUGUGGUGGACAGCGGAAGAGGUACACCCCUUCCAAGGAGAAAGUGACUGGAAGCAUGCAGAAAAUGUUUUCCUACUGUCAAUCCACUAGGAUGUCCACUACCCCUGGCUUCGAGAAUGUGGUGUAUGACAACUUUGAACACUUUAAGGGUGUCGUGGAUGCGGAGUUGGAAAGGAGGACUGUGUAAAGACCUGUAAAUAUGUGUGUGUGGAUAACUUGCCUCUGUGAUGCCACUGUUCUCGUGCCAUCUGUAGGAGAGAGAAAGAGGCUUGUUUGUGUGUGUUUGUCUCUGUCUUUGUGUGUGUUUUUAAAGUGCUUCAGCAAGCACUAUCUAUUUAUUUAUCGUUCAAAAAAAUGCACUUUGCAGUUUUACUUGAAGUUCUUUUGUUUGUUUUUUAUUUAUUAUUAUUUAUAUUGCUGUUAAAAUUUACUUUGUAGUAUCCAUUCUGUUCUAUGUUCAAUAUCGAGGCCAAUCUUUUAAACCAUAAUCAGUUCCAAUCUAACACAAUCAGUUUACAUACCCUUUAGUGGUUGUUCAUGUUCAGAUAAUUGUUUUUGUCAUGCAUGUUGUUUGUCUUUGUCAGCUUCAUGUCUUUGUGAUGUUUGUAUGUAUUUGUCUGCUUCAGUUUUAACAAGUUUGCUAAAGAAAACACAAAAAAACACAAAAGGGAGGAACAGCUUGAGCCUUUAUUUGUGGAUUGGUCACCUGAGUCUUUGGAUAAUCAUGUUCAUUAUUGCACUUUAGCCUGUAAAAGCCAAUUGUUGAUUUGUAUCUUAAGUACAAGUGUGUGUGUGUGUGUGUGUGUGUUCUUUAAUUGUUGAGUGUUUUUGAUUAUUAUUAAUGUUAUUUAUAUGUGCCUGUACUUGUGAGGUAUGUAUGUCUGUCAGCUCCAUGUUUAACUAAAUGUUUGCAAAUGGUGGUAAAUGUUUGUCUCUCGUCUUAUGCUCUCGUGUUCUCGCCUGUAGAUCUGUACCUUGUCGUGGUGGGCGGGCUUUUAACUAAACAGAUCUUGUUUACUUGUGUUUAUAUGCAUUGCCUUUUCAAUGAAAACCAUUCUGGUUGAAAAAUAAAAGUUGUAAAAGUAUUUGAGUGUGUGCUUGGGUUCCACAAGGGUUGGGGUAUUGGAAAGAAAAAACACACCAAAGCAAUUAGAAGUCCUUGUGUCUUCACUUCCGCAACCAGAGGUGUGAAUACACCCCUACUGUGCUGGCUGCACUCCCUGUGUGGUCAAAACAAUGAGUUCUGUGAAUGGCUCUGGGCCCCGUUUCCCGAUAACGAUGGAUCUUCGCUCGUACGAUCAUUCUCCCGAUGGAUCUUGCGAUCCAUCGAUAAUUUCUUUGGAGCGUUUCCCGAAACUCCUCUUAACGUGAACGCGCAUUCGCUGCACUCACGACGUCGUAGGAUUGUAACUGUCUACUGACACGGUGCUGAAAUGGGCUCCGUAGGAGGGGGAGACGCAGGAAUGUCGCAGGAAAAUUGUGUUAAAAAGGGUUAAAAUAUAUCCCCAUCAAGGACAACAGCAGAGUAGCCUACGAAAAAAAAUAGACUGCAAUUAUAUGAAUGCUAAAGACAUUAAAACACAAUUGAUUAGGCUGAAACCGACAUAUAUCAGUCCUAAUCCUGAAUGCACUGUGCGUUUCACGGCAUUUUCCCCCCUGAAAUAAUUCCAUAUGACAAAAAAUUAAAAAUAGCUUGUGUGACAACUACAUUUAUCUUAAUGGGCUGAUUUCUGAAACAUGCUUUGCGCAGCAAAGAGAGCCGACUUAAUCUGAUUCCGCAUAAGGGUUUCCUUGAUUGAUAAUUUGAUUGGCUAUAAAAGCCCCUCCGGAAAUAGGGUAAGGUAUGUAUUGAUGAGGAAUACAACGAAGCCCACCGUCUGGCCCGGUGCAUCGUUGAGCGCACGAUCGGGAGGUGGAAGUUGCGCUUUAGAUGCCUUUACAGGUCAGGCGGAGGGCUCCAGUUUUCGCCGGCCAAGUCAUGCGCCGUGAUAUGUGUGACGGCUAUGUUGCACAACAUUGCAGCUAAGGCUGGGGUGGCAUUGCUUGAACCGGAGGACAUUGAAGACGAUGAAGAUCGGUGUGAGGACGGCCUCCCUCAUAACUACGCGGCUGGUUUUCAUGCGCGUCGAAGAGUGAUUGAGACUUUUUUUUAACCCCCUCCACCCUCCCACAUGUCACUAAACAUUCCCGUCA